GACACCUUACUCAUUGAUGUAGCUUGUGAGCAGCAUCCCUGCAGACUGUUUGCUGUGUUCAUUUUAGAUUAUCUUAAAAGAUAUAAGGUGAGCACUGGCAAUCUUUUUUGUAGGGUUUUUAGGAUUGGUCUCUAUCUAUUUUAAAGACCUAGCACAGCUAGAUUUGACAUUAUUUAACUAAUCUUUAUUCCAAAUUGUUGAAGCUGUCUCAAAUUCCUUGGGGCGUGUCCAUGGAGUCAUGCCGCACAUUUUGGAUUGGAUUUUGAUAUGGGCUCUGACUAGGCCCCUCAAGGAUAAUUCCACUGUAGCUUUAGCUUUGUGCUUUGGGUCAUUGUAACUAGGGGUGUGCCGAUCUCGUCAUGCUCAGAUCCGUCAUCGUAUCCGUUUGUCACACAUCAUACUCGUAAUUGGAUAUAAUUAAGAGUGGAGAACCCGGAGGUGUUUUUUGAAUGAUGGUAAAGCCUAUACUUGAUUUAUGCGUUACUGUGCUGAUCAGAUCACUUAUCAGUGAGACUCUGAUGUUCUGUGGGCAAACUAAAAGAAAUCAACAUAGCAACUUUUAGUAAACCAACCUUUGGCUGUUUAACUUUUGAAAGGGUUAAAACGUUUCUCUUCUAAAGCCUAGCCUUCGCUCUAAAGCCAUCAGUGGCGAGGAAAUUCCCAACAGUCUAUGGACCAACAGACCAAGUGCUAAUGAGGCCGUCUUCCAUUAAUUGAAUUUUGCGUGGCCCAUCCACGGUGCUUUAGUCCUCCUGCCGUGCCGCUCUCAGCUGCUGGGUGAUUAACCUGGGAGGAACUCUACAUUAUGCUGUAAAUUCUGCCACCUGCACAAAUUGUGGAGGACAGGCCUGCAACCCACCCACCAUAAGCCUCACUCAGCCAACCUCACAGGCAGCACAACAAGGAGCUGUGGCACUCUGUUACGCACACACAUAUAAACACACAUUUUUAUGCAGGCCACGUACAGCACAUACAAUGUUCAAAUUUGAAAUUUGGCUUACGCAUGUAACUCAACCCCUCCACAAUGGAAAGGUACAGGGAGCAAUUCAUUGUUUCGAACAAGGACAGAACACAUUUUCUUUAUUGUUGUCUCCGGGAUUUGAUCUAGCAGUUUUUUUUACUUGUCCGAUGGUCAUACGGCCAUCAUCACACACCACAUACAGUAUAGCGUUUUUACAUUACACCACAUUUUUCCAGAUGUUUCAAAGACAAGUCGAGACGCUAGAUUAUUUUGUCUUGUAAACUUGCAGAUAUCCAUAGCUUGAGACACUAGAUUAUUUUGUCGUGUAAACUUGCAGAUAUUGAUCGCUCGACACGCCACAAGUGUGAAGACAAUUCUGACAGAACUGGAGGUUUCUGUGCGCUGUGCACGCAUAUCAGUUGAUUUUCCCAUGACCGACGGACAUGCCGGUGAAAAUUCAAACAGUAUGGAAAUGUCUAUGCAAACCAAGAAAUUGGAUGAUUUCCAUUGGCACUCGAGUGAGACGCUUUUCCACAAGGCACUGCUAAUCUCCCAGGCCUCCGUCUGUAGAACUUAUUCUGUGACAUAUUGACAAAGGGAUUUAUUCAUUCUUUACUGUGUUGGACAAAUCAUCAAAGAAGUCCACCAACAGUUUACAAGGAUGUGUGGUGAACGUGGAACCGACGUCAUUGCACCAAUAUGCCUCCUUUCCUCCGCUGUGAGACAUGAAGAAGGUUAUGAUGGUUUGAGGUCCGUAGUGGUGGGUGAUUGGCUGCUUUCUGUGAUAGACUUGGAUUUAUUCCCUGGAUAACAGAGGCCAGGAGACACUACAUCCCAAGGGAGAACUGCUGGAUGGUGAGGGAGCGGCACAGAUAAUAAGAAAAAGAACGAAAGGAGAUAAAGAGCGCAAGCAGGAGUGAAAGAAAACGGUGCUCGCGGCCAACAUCGCUCACACGUCCAGCGGAGAAUGAAACCGAGCCCUCUGAUUUGUGCCUAAUAAACUUGUCACAUCCUAUCAGCAGCCACAUCAAACACGUGCAGCACAAGCCCCCAGACAUGCCCAGUCAGGGGUGAUCAGGGGCGGCCAAUGGCAUGACAGGGCUACCUGUGUGAUGGAUGACGGGACAGAGCACUGCUUGAUGGGAGCGUCGGCCAAUGAUCGAAGGUGGUAGAGGUCAACUCGGGACAGUGAGGAUUAUUUCAUGCACUACUAUGUAGUUGCAGACAGAGCUGUAUAGAUUAUUUGAUUGUAAUGUACUACAUAAAUGCAUUGUAAUGCAUAGACCUCAAUGUCCAUGCAUGUAUUCGUCAGGGAAUCCCUCUGAUGUCCAAGCCAUUCUUUUUCUGUUUAAUUCAGAUUGCUAAGUCAACACAUGCAAUUGUUUUAAGACAAAUGUUUCAUUGAUCAUUUUGGGUCUUGAUAUGAAGUUGUUGGACAUACGUAGCUUUCCCCUAUAACUUAUGGAAGAUUAUUUGAGAUUACUUUGCGAUGAACGUGGCUUUAGUGUUAUUGUGCGUAAAAGCGUUGUAAUGAAUACACGGACAAGAGAGUGGAUCCAAGCGCAGAGCGCUAUGAUGUUUUAAUAACAACCCAAUCCAAAAUCCAGAAACAUAGGGCAAGCAAAAGGUUGCUACACAAGAAGGUCAGAUAAGGCAGAGGCAAAGGUACCAAAGGUCUAAGGCAGAGUCGUGGUCAAAGCACUAAUCUGAAGGGAAUGGUCUGGUACACUGGUCGACACUAGAAUUGGUAUGAAAGAAGAAGCUACAAAUAGAACUGAACGAUAUAGGAACUGUUACAGAGCAGGUGAACAGCAAUACAGGUGAAACGCAUUAGGACUAACACAGGGAAGAAGGCUACGUUCAAGAUGAAACUGAAAUGUUACAAAAUCAAAAACACAAGCCCUCAAAAGCGUAUUUGACAAAUUUUUUUCCAAAAGAUGAGCAUAUAUUAUUUUGUAUCAAAAAUAUGCAUACAUGCGUUCUUUUAUUUAUCAUAAUUUUUCAGUUCCAUACUGUGUUAACCUUAGACUCUGCUGCAUGCAGUAGAACAUGUUUCUAUAAUUUUAUAGCUUGAACUGGAUUUAACUGGAUUUGUUUUGUCAUUGUGCUACUAAUGGCCAUUGUAAUAAACAACAGUUUCACAAACAGGUUCACCUGUUGUAUGUGUAUCCAGAAUACACUGCUCCUUCAGUGGCACAGCAUUCCAACAUUGAUGCAAGUGAUCAUAGGUGAAUCUCAGCUGUUGUGUUUGUCUUUUAUGUGCUUAUUCAUCGUUCUUUGAGCUCACUUAUAACGAGGUCUAGGCAGGUGGGAAUGCAGUUCAAAUGACCUAUUGGUGCCUUUGUAGACAGAGUUCUGUCCAGUGGCCUGUUUAUUUUCUCUGCACCCACGCAGCCACACUUUGAUAUGGUGUUGCAGCAUUGCACUAUCCCAGACCUAACCUGUAGAAG
Esox lucius (northern pike) is the source of this 3411-nucleotide long non-coding RNA. RefSeq lists it as uncharacterized. The transcript has 3 exons. The record is from RefSeq and is a predicted model, not a curated record. Lineage: Eukaryota; Metazoa; Chordata; Actinopteri; Esociformes; Esocidae.